Molecule: ribosomal RNA, 403 nt
Filed under: Crustacea environmental sample
Lineage: Eukaryota; Metazoa; Arthropoda
Description: partial small subunit ribosomal RNA
Rfam family: Eukaryotic small subunit ribosomal RNA
Source: RNAcentral
GCUUGUCUCAAAGAUUAAGCCAUGCAUGUCUAAGUAUAAGCACCCUUAUACUGCGAAACUGCGUACAGCUCAUUAUAUCAGCAAUUAUUUAUUUGAAGGUCACCUAUUACAUGGAUAACCGUGGUAAUUCUUGAGCUAAUACAUGCGAAAAAUCUCGACUCACGGAGAGAUGCUUUUAUUAGAUCAAAACCAAACGGCUUCGGCCGUCUCAUUGGUGACUCUGAAUAACUUUGGGCUGAUCGUAUGGCCUUGUGCCGACGACGUUUCCUUCGAAGGUGUGCCCUAUCAACUGUCGACUGUGAUAUAGACGCUCACAGUGGUUUUGACGGGUAACGGGGAAUCAGGGUUCGAUUCCGGAGAGGGAGCCUUAAAAACGGCUACCACAUCCAAGGAAGGCAGCAGG